Molecule: ribosomal RNA, 153 nt
Filed under: uncultured bacterium
Lineage: Bacteria
Description: partial 16S ribosomal RNA
Rfam family: Bacterial small subunit ribosomal RNA
Source: RNAcentral
UGGGGAAUAUUGGACAAUGGGCGCAAGCCUGAUCCAGCCAUGCCGCGUGAGUGAUGAAGGCCUUAGGGUUGUAAAGCUCUUUCGCCUGGGAACAAGACCAGCUAAUAUCUGGUUAAUUUGAGGGUACCAGGAUAAGAAGCACCGGCUAACUCC